GAUGAACGCUGGCGGCGUGCCUAAUACAUGCAAGUCGGACGGAGAGAGGAGAUUUCGGUUGAAUCUCUUAGUGGCGAACGGGUGAGUAACGCGUUGGUGACCUGCCCCGAAGAGGGGGAUAACAGCUCGAAAGGGCUGCUAAUACCCCAUGAGAUCUACCCAGUUAGAGGGGGGUAGAUGAAAGGAGAAAUCCGCUUUGGGAGGGGCCUGCGUCCCAUCAGCUAGUUGGUAAGGUAAAAGCUUACCAAGGCGAAGACGGGUAGGGGGCCUGAGAGGGUGACCCCCCACACUGGCACUGAAACACGGGCCAGACACCUACGGGUGGCAG
This 328-nucleotide ribosomal RNA is filed under the name uncultured Chloroflexota bacterium. RNAcentral's name for it is "bacterial SSU rRNA". It matches the Rfam family "Bacterial small subunit ribosomal RNA", at positions 28 to 351 of the family's 1533-position model. Lineage: Bacteria; Bacillati; Chloroflexota. The record is from RNAcentral.